Molecule: ribosomal RNA, 431 nt
Filed under: Microbacterium sp.
Lineage: Bacteria; Bacillati; Actinomycetota; Actinomycetes; Micrococcales; Microbacteriaceae
Description: bacterial SSU rRNA
Rfam family: Bacterial small subunit ribosomal RNA
Source: RNAcentral
UGCAAGUCGAACGGUGAACACGGAGCUUGCUCUGUGGGAUCAGUGGCGAACGGGUGAGUAACACGUGAGCAACCUGCCCCUGACUCUGGGAUAAGCGCUGGAAACGGCGUCUAAUACUGGAUAUGUGACGUGAUCGCAUGGUCUGCGUCUGGAAAGAAUUUCGGUUGGGGAUGGGCUCGCGGCCUAUCAGCUUGUUGGUGAGGUAAUGGCUCACCAAGGCGUCGACGGGUAGCCGGCCUGAGAGGGUGACCGGCCACACUGGGACUGAGACACGGCCCAGACUCCUACGGGAGGCAGCAGUGGGGAAUAUUGCACAAUGGGCGCAAGCCUGAUGCAGCAACGCCGCGUGAGGGAUGACGGCCUUCGGGUUGUAAACCUCUUUUAGCAGGGAAGAAGCGAAAGUGACGGUACCUGCAGAAAAAGCGCCGGCU